UAUUUACACAGUGCUAAAGAAAUUUGAGUUUUAUUUCCAUUUUGUGGAAUUUUAUUCUGGGGUCUGGCUUUGUUGUGCAACUGACAUAGGUCAUUGAAACUUGAUUAUUCCACCUCACAUGCAAUUUUCUGCCCCAAGGGAACAGAAAACUUGGGUUUUUAGUGCACAUGCAGUAAUGAUCUUAAUACUGCUUUAGAUUUGAGUAGGAAGGCUAUCUGACAGCUUGGGGAGGAGGUGGGCAGAAUCAUCAGGAACACUCAAGUCACGUGACCACAAACUGAGGGCAUGCGGAGGAUGAGAACUGCAUUAAGGAUUUGGGCAUAUCAUUAACAUCACCCUCCAUGAGGGCGAGGCCUUGGCCCUCCUGGGGCAGGACGGUGUCCCUGGUGCAACCUGAGCUGGGCAAACU
RNAcentral lists this long non-coding RNA (409 nucleotides) under Bos taurus (domestic cattle). RNAcentral describes it as "long non-coding RNA NONBTAT018236". The record is from RNAcentral. Lineage: Eukaryota; Metazoa; Chordata; Mammalia; Artiodactyla; Bovidae.